UUAUGAAAAGCUCACUAUGCAAUUUAUGUGGGAUGGUAAAAUGGUGAAGCUUCUAAGGGAUACACAACCUGAGCCCAUGGCCAUUUUGAUCCACCAGUUGCGCUGUUUAUCGCAUUGGGAACAGAUCUUGGAGUGCUACCAUCUCUCUCUAGUUCCUGCCCCUACCCCUAUCCCUAUCCAACUCUUCUCCAUCUCCAGUUCUACCCACCUAGAUGUGUCUGCCUUACUCCACCACUACCAAGCCCUUUUCGUGGAACCCACUCCGCUUCCACCAGAGCACCCAACAGACCACACAAUUCCUUUUUUCCAAAUUCAGUCCAUAUUCUCAGAAGAAGGAGAUUGAGACUCAGGUAGCCUGCAUGCUCGCCACGAGGGAAAUUCGUCUAAGCAUCAGUGCUUUUCUUCCCCUGUUCUCUUGGUGAAGAAAAAGGACUAUACAUGGCGCUUUUGCGUUGAUUGUCAAGCACUUAAUGCGAUCACCGUCCUGGAUAGCUUUCCAAUUCUGACAAUUAACGAAUUGCUCGAUGAAUUGGGUGCUGAUGUUUGGUUCUCCAAGUUGGAUCUUCUAAAGGGCUAUCAUCAGAUUCGCUUGACCCCAAAGGAUAUGCACAAGAUCGCUUUUCUCACUCAAGAUGGCCACUAUGAGUUUCGCAUGCUUCCUUUCAGACUCUCCAAUGCCCCAGCAACAUUUCAAGCCACCAUGAAUGAUUUAUUCUGGCCCCAUUUACGCAAAUUUAUUAUCGUCUUCUUCGAUGAUAUCCUUAUCUGUAGUAUUUCUUGGGCUGAUCAUUUAUUUCAUUUGGAAACCACUUUUCAAUUGCUUCUGACUAACCAAUUCUGUUUGAAAUUGCCCAAAUGUUGUUUUGCUAUGCAACAGGUGGAAUAUUUGGGACACAUAGUCAGUGCAGGUUCAGUUGGUCCUGCCCGUUCCAAAAUUUAAGCUAUGACUUCUUGGCCAACCCCUACUUUUGUCAAGGUCUUGAAUGGUUUUCUUCAUCUCACGGGGUUCUACCGCAAAUUCAUCAAUAGUUACGCUUCCUUAGCGUCUCCCCUCUUGCGAAAGAAAGCAUUUCAGUGGUCUCCACAGGCUCAAAAGGCAUUUGAUCAGCUUAAACAUGCCAUGUCUACUGCUUUGACCAGAUUUUACGAAAAACUAUUUGUGGUUCAAUUUGAUGCCUCUAGUACUGCCAUGGGGGUAGUUUUACAUCAGGACCAAAAGCCAGUGCAUUUUUCAGUAAGAAAUUAUGUCCCCGUAUGAUGCAAGCUUCCAUCUAUUUGCAAGAGCUCCAUGCCGUUAUAGUAGCUAUAAAAAGUGGAGGCAAUACCUCUUGGGCAAUUACUUCAUCAUAAAAACAGAUCAUAAACCCCUAAAGGAUCUCUUAACUCAAACUGUGCAGACUCUGGAACAACAGUUUUACAUGAGUAAGCUUGGGUACAAUUAUACGAUUCAAUAUCACCCUGGUCACACCAACACUGCGGCAGAUGCCCUGUCAUGCCUUCCUGAGAACAGAGUACCUCUCAGUUUUAUGUCAUUACAGUUCCUCAGUUCCAAUUCUUGGAGAAAUUACGCACAACGUUUCACUCUGAUAAGCAUUUUGACUCCAUGAAAUAGGACAUUGAACAGGGUGUUGCAUCUGUAGCUGACUACAAACUGCAGGAUGGCCUUAUCUUCUUCAAGGGGAGAAUUUAGUUGCCCUCAUCUUCCCUUUUCCAUGAGAUUCUAAUGACAGAAUUUCAUUCAACUCCUUUGGGUGGUCACUUAGGAUUGGUCAAGACCCUCAAUUGAUUGCAAGAAAAAAAAUUUUGGACAGUGAUGUCUAAGGAUUUCAAGUUUUUUAUCCACAAAUGUGUUACCUAUCAACAAAUUAAGUACAUUCCUCAAAAACCUGCGAGGCUCCUCCAACCUAUUUCCCCACUCACUCUUGUCUAGGAAGACUUGGCCAUGGAUUUCAUCACUGACCUCCCUCCAUCCUGCGAGUAUACAACUAUUUUGGUGGUCGUCGAUCAUUUUUCUAAGGUCUCCCAUUUCGGCCCUCUGCCCACUUUGUAUUCUGCUUAUCAGGUGGUCCUUUUGUUUAUUAAUUUGGUGGCUAAACUCCAGGGAAUGCCCACGAGUAUUAUCUCUUAUCGCAAUUCUCUAUUUUUGAGCAAAUUUUGGCAAGAAUUGCUCAAGGCCUGUGGCACUCAGCUGCAUAUGUUAUAUGCUUAUCACCUGGAAAUGAAUGGGCAAUCCGAAGUACUCAACCACACCCUUGAGCAAUACUUACAGGCCGUUUGCCACCAUCAAACUUCUCACUGGAGUCACUACAUUCCAUACGGAAUGGUGUUACAAUACUUCUGUCCAUUCAGAUACAAGCUACACCCCUUUUAAGAUUGUGUACAAUCGUGCUCCUCCUUCGUUACCGAGAUAUUUACUGGGCCAAUUCCCAGUGGAGGCAGUCAAGGAAAUGUUCAGUUCUCGCGAUACUCUGUUAGCUAAGCUAUGCAGGAACUUACACAAGUCCCAGGAGCGCAUGAAGAAGUUGGCGGAUGUCCAUCAUCAUGACGUCCAGUUUGACGUAGGAACCUGAGUGUAUGUCAAACUCUACCCAUAUCGCCAGACUUCUGUGGUUGGUUGCACUCCCCACAAGUUAGCUAAGCACUAAUUUGGCCCUUUCCAGAUUCUCAGUCGCAUUGGGGCGGUGGCAUAUCAGUUGGCUUUACGAGAAACCUAUCUGAUCCACCCUGUUUUCCACUGUUCUAUUUUGAAACUACAUGUUAGGGUUCCACCUAAGGAGGCAGGCACUCUUCUUGUAGAAACUAAUAACAAUGGACCCUUGUUGGUACCAUUAGUCAUUUUGAAUCAUCGUGAAGAUACUUCUGUUGAUCCACCAACAGUUCAAGUUUUGGUGCAGUGGACGGGGCUUUCUCCUGAAGAAGCAACCUGGGAGUACUGGACGGAUAUCAAACAGACCUUUAACCUUGAGGACAAGGUUUUUCUCCAAGGGCCAAGGGAUGAUACAGAUGGAGGCAUUAUUGGGUCAAUGGGUCUUGCACCUAGAAUGCUAUCCAAUUGGCUGUUUCUAAGCUUAAAACUAGUUUUGAGUACAAGGUUGAUUGUGGUAAUGCUUCUUUUUUUGGUUUGUCAAUUGGGCAGAUGGAGGCACUAUUGGGCCAAGUGACACCAACAACCCAAUUGGUGAGAGUGGGCCAAGUAAUGAACCAAAACACAUAAGGAAGAACUCGAGACAAACCUCAAGGUAUCCGUUAGGGAGUGAGAAUUGCUUAUAUCAAUUGUAAGAAUCCAUUUGAAAGGAUAUGAAAAUUUUGGCUUAUUACUAAACUUCUUCUUUAGAGGACUAGUACCUCGAAUACUAGAUUUCUUUUCUUCAUCUUGUAUUAAAGUUCAUCAACAAGUAUUAGAAUGCAAAAUUAAUAUUAAUAUUAAUAUUCUAUUU
Abrus precatorius (Indian licorice) is the source of this 3437-nucleotide long non-coding RNA. RefSeq lists it as uncharacterized. NCBI's taxonomy places the organism in Eukaryota, Viridiplantae, Streptophyta, Magnoliopsida, Fabales, Fabaceae. The record is from RefSeq and is a predicted model, not a curated record. The transcript is spliced from 3 exons.